UGGCCUAAUGGAUAAGGCGUCUGACUUCGAAUCAGAAGAUUGAGGGUUCGGGUCCCUU
Molecule: non-coding RNA, 58 nt
Organism: Salmo salar (Atlantic salmon)
Lineage: Eukaryota; Metazoa; Chordata; Actinopteri; Salmoniformes; Salmonidae
Source: Rfam